RNAcentral lists this non-coding RNA (148 nucleotides) under Nomascus leucogenys (northern white-cheeked gibbon). Lineage: Eukaryota; Metazoa; Chordata; Mammalia; Primates; Hylobatidae. The record is from Rfam by way of RNAcentral.
GCUGGGCAUGGUGGCGCAUGCCUGUAAUCCCAGCUACUCAGGAGGCUGAGGCAGGGUAAUUGUUUGAACCCAGGAAGUAGAGGUUGCAGUGAGCCGAGAUGGCAACACUGCAUUCCCGUCUGGGCAACAGAGUAAGACUGUGUCUCAA